Molecule: unclassified non-coding RNA, 121 nt
Filed under: uncultured fungus
Lineage: Eukaryota; Fungi
Description: sequence contains ITS1
Source: RNAcentral
GUUUGCUUUAGAUUCGUCUAUCGCUUCGUCAAUGUUUAUCGUGUGUAGAUACUCGUGCUUGCGCACGAGAUCGUGUGUAGUAGAUUUGUUAAUGAUCCUUCCGCAGGUUCACCUACGGAAA